This is a long non-coding RNA of Poecilia latipinna (sailfin molly), 304 nucleotides long. RefSeq lists it as uncharacterized. The transcript has 3 exons. NCBI's taxonomy places the organism in Eukaryota, Metazoa, Chordata, Actinopteri, Cyprinodontiformes, Poeciliidae. The record is from RefSeq and is a predicted model, not a curated record.
AUGGAUGGAAAGGUUUUAAGGCAAAAAAGACACCGAGAAAUGUUUUUCCACACAAGGCUUCUGGUCCCAAUCAUCAUCACUUCUGAUGAUGUCACAUACACAGCGAGUCCACAACGACUUAAAAUUGUUCCUGUAAGGUGCAGUGAACUGGAAUGUUCUGUCGUUGAUCCUCACUUUCAUGUUUUAUCGUCACACUUAAAUUUUCAUGUUCAUGUGUUCACUUUUGAUAUGUAAGCUGAUAAUUUAUUUAAAGUUCAUAAAGUUGGACAAUUUUAAAAUGUUGGUAAUAAAACAAAAUAUUUGA